RNAcentral lists this ribosomal RNA (446 nucleotides) under uncultured bacterium. RNAcentral describes it as "partial 16S ribosomal RNA". It matches the Rfam family "Bacterial small subunit ribosomal RNA", at positions 338 to 795 of the family's 1533-position model. The record is from RNAcentral.
CCUACGGGAGGCUGCAGUCGAGAAUCAUUCACAAUGGGGGAAACCCUGAUGGUGCGACGCCGCGUGGGGGAAUGAAGGUCUUCGGAUUGUAAACCCCUGUCAUGUGGGAGCAAAUUAAAAAGAUAGUACCACAAGAGGAAGAGACGGCUCACGCUGUGCCAGCAGCCGCGGUAAUACAGAGGUCUCAAGCGUUGUUCGGAAUCACGGGGCGUAAAGGGUGCGUAGGCUGUUUCGUAAGUCGUGUGUGAAAGGCGCGGGCUCAACCCGCGGACGGCUCAUGAUACUGCGAGACUAGAGUAAUGGAGGGGGACCCGGAAUUCUCGGUGGAGCAGUGAAAGGCGUAGAUAUCGAGAGGAACACUCGUGGCGAAGGCGGGUUCCUGGACAUCAACUGACGCUGAGGCACGAAGGCCAGGGGAGCGAAAGGGAUUAGAUACCCUAGUAGUC